RNAcentral lists this transfer-messenger RNA (369 nucleotides) under Isosphaeraceae bacterium. It matches the Rfam family "transfer-messenger RNA". From Rfam's summary of the family: Bacterial tmRNA, also known as 10Sa RNA or SsrA, is named for its dual tRNA and mRNA-like properties. Its role is to liberate the mRNA from a stalled ribosome. The record is from RNAcentral. Lineage: Bacteria; Pseudomonadati; Planctomycetota; Planctomycetia; Isosphaerales; Isosphaeraceae.
GGGGGCGAACCAGGAUCGACCGGAUUACUGAGGUGUGAGGUGGCGUGUCGAGGUUGGUCAGCAGGCCUCGUAAAAAGCGGACCAAACUUUAUCUGCCGAGAGGACUCCCUCUCUCCGUAUGGCUGCCUAAUUGAGGUAGAAACGGCUUCGCGGCGGGCCUUCUCCCGCUAGUUCCGCCCGAAGACGACAAUGCGGGAUCGCUCAAGCCUAACCGCCCGUUGCGGCUUGAGCUAAACUCAUGAUGGGAUAAGCCAAAAGGUACCUUGUCGCUCGGGGACCCCAGGCCGACAAUCAAACGAACGGCUACACACGUAGAUGCCCACAUUAAUGGAUCUCGGGACGCGGGUGCAAUUCCCGCCGCCUCCACUU